This 74-nucleotide transfer RNA is filed under the name Pseudomonadota bacterium. Its description in RNAcentral is "tRNA-Cys". It matches the Rfam family "tRNA". Rfam says of the family: Transfer RNA (tRNA) molecules are approximately 80 nucleotides in length. Their secondary structure includes four short double-helical elements and three loops (D, anti-codon, and T loops). Lineage: Bacteria; Pseudomonadati; Pseudomonadota. The record is from RNAcentral.
GUCCCCGUGGCCGAGCGGUGAGGUGCCUGGACGCAACCCAGGCGAGGCGGGUUCGACUCCUGCCGGGGACUCCA